AGUGAACGCUGGCGGUAGGCCUAACACAUGCAAGUCGAACGGCAGCACAGUAAGAGCUUGCUCUUACGGGUGGCGAGUGGCGGACGGGUGAGGAAUACAUCGGAAUCUACUUUUUCGUGGGGGAUAACGUAGGGAAACUUACGCUAAUACCGCAUACGACCUACGGGUGAAAGCAGGGGAUCUUCGGACCUUGCGCGAUUGAAUGAGCCGAUGUCGGAUUAGCUAGUUGGCGGGGUAAAGGCCCACCAAGGCGACGAUCCGUAGCUGGUCUGAGAGGAUGAUCAGCCACACUGGAACUGAGACGCGGUCCAGACUCCUACGGGAGGCAGCAGUGGGGAAUAUUGGACAAUGGGCGCAAGCCUGAUCCAGCCAUACCGCGUGGGUGAAGAAGGCCUUCGGGUUGUAAAGCCCUUUUGUUGGGAAAGAAAAGCAGCAGGUUAAUACCCCGCCGUUCUGACGGUACCCAAAGAAUAAGCACCGGCUAACUUCGUG
Molecule: ribosomal RNA, 492 nt
Filed under: uncultured bacterium
Lineage: Bacteria
Description: partial 16S ribosomal RNA
Rfam family: Bacterial small subunit ribosomal RNA
Source: RNAcentral